UGAACAAGCCAUGAGGAGCAAACCAGGAAACAGAGCUUCUUGGAGGUCUCUGCUUUGGCUCCUGCUGUGGCUUCCUUUAGUGACCGCGGUCCACGUGGAAGUCAAGGUCGGUGCCACCUCAGCAGGCUCCCGCUGAAAGAAUAUGAGAGACCCUCCUUCCUCUGCAGCACACCAAAAUCUUCGGAGCACUGGGAAGGUGUCCCUUGAAGUUCCCAGAGGAAUCAAGGGCAAUGCACUCUGGGCCAGCUGAGUAGCAAGGAGACACCCCCGACCCCUGCCUGCCAAAGUCUCAUUUCUGGGACAGCACCCUUCUGUGCCUAGGAAUCUCAAAGCAUGACAUGUGAAAGGGGUUUUUAUGCCGAGCACGUCAGCAGGCUGAGGAGCUAGUGUGCCUAAGACCUGGAAUUUCUUUCUGGCUCUCAGCAUGAGUCAUGAUUGUUUCCCUUGCGUCAUCCUCCGCAUGUGACUUUUCAUCUUACAUUCUGGCUUUGCUCCGGGAGACUGCACUGCCCAUGCCAGAGACCCGCUGAAAGGUCACCCCAGAAUGGCUCCGGUGGGAGGGGCUUACCUAGCAGUGUGGGUCCUGAACUGUGAUCUUUAACGCUCCUCUUUGGGAGAUGAAAGCAAGAAUAAAGGAUUCUAAAGGAGCCCCACCUUCAGAUUUUUGGAAUGAUAAUAUAACCAGAAGAUCCCCCCCCCCUCUGAAUUACUGUAACCAGCAAAGUAAGCCUCUGCCAUCCCUGCCUAAUCCAAAAUGGAAUUUACGAGGAGAGGUUCUUAAAUAGAGUGAUCUGGAUAUAUUCUUUCCUGCCUAGGGAGACCUAGCACCCAUAGAGUUCCUUUAAAUAAGCAGUGAGAAGCCCCUGUGUCUUCCUGGAGAUUUGCAAGCAGAUGUUGCUGAACCUGCAUCAGACUGGGUUUAUACUUGUCUUGAUAGAUCACUUCCAGACACUGCUUGAACCUGUGCAGAAUGAGUUGAGGAGUUUCUUCAUCUACAAAUCCAAGUCCUUGCAUGCCCCCUUUAUUGUCAACUUGACACAAGCAAGAGUCAUCAGGCAAGAGGAAAAGCUCAAAUAAGAAAAAUUCUUCCAUCAGCUCGGCCCGUAGGUGCCCGCUAACAUGGCUGAAGAGGGACAAGGCCUGGCUCUCUAUCCAAAUAGCAGAGGCCUCUGCAGCUACUGACCAGCCAAUCUGGGAAUCCUGAGCAAGCAACUCAAACAACUGCUCCCCGUGCCAAUCUGGGAAUCAAACAACUGCUCGCCGAACGGCGGUCCAGUGACAGAGCCAUCAACUGUUUGACAGCCGAAUGAGGAAGAGUAAGGACAACAGAAACUUUCCAUAAAGCUACGUUGACUGAAUUGAGAGAAUACGGCUUCUUUCUGAUUUUCAUUUUUCUUUCUGAUAUAGCCACUCUUAUGAAUGAUAAUAAAUGAUAUUCCCAGUGCUUCUAUUUGCCAAAACGAAUAGCAAGCAUUCCAGGGUGGCCUCUCCCCCUUGCAAUCUCCUGAAAUGUUCGUGAAACCUAAAAGUCUUGGUUGCACCCAUUACUCACACAAACCUGCUUUCUUGCCAACUGAGUGGCCAGCAACGAUUCUUCUAUUGUCAGAUUAGGACAAAGGUUAAGUAAGACCCCAAAGGGGAGGUGCCUGGAAGUGCCUUUGGUACUUUUCAGCUGUACCUGAAACCCUGGUACAGGCCUCAAGGCUGUGCAUGUGUGCUGUCAAGUACCAUGGCGCAUGGUCAGAAGCCAACUUUCCAACCGGUUCUUUCUUUUUACCUCGUGGGGCCAGGGAAUUGAACUCAGGCAUCCAGGCUUGGCAGCAAGCUCCUUUACCUGCUUAGCCAUCUCACCAUCCCCGUCCAUUGGAGAGAGAAGAUAGUAAGUGCAGACCCAGGAACUAUUUGGCACAUAGUAGGUGACAAAUAAAUGUCACUUUAGUCUAUGGGAUCCUAAAGUAGAAGAGUGUUAAAGGUGUGAGAGUUAGGAACAGAGAAUGAGUUCUAGAUAUUGGUGUGUUGAUGAUAACUGAAGUCAGGAAACCAAGAGGAAGAAGGCAGUGCUGACUCUAAAGUAGCCCAUGGAACCUGGUGGUCUCCCAGCAAGCAGACACAGGAAGACCCAGACUUCAUACAUCCCGCAGCUUCCUCCCAGCAGCUUACAUCACAUUCCCAUAAGUUUUGGACUCUCUAUCUUAGAAGAAAAUCCUUGUAUUCCCCUUCUUAAACUUGUAGUCCCCGAGACAGAAUCUCUUUUCAUGUGACCUCUCAUCCACUUUGGUUGCUGUUGGCGGUGGCGCAAUUUCCCAGGGUCACAAGUGUGCUGGAACUGAUGUUAAUCUAAGAGGUCCCUGAUUCUAUUGGGCUUAUCCCUCCCGCCCCGUAAGAAGAGCGCUCUUCAUCAGAGAACAGCUCAGCCAUCAGGGAAGGCUGCCUUCUCUGUCGGCAUACAGCAGAGGUACACGGGAAGUGACCGGAAGUGACCCUGGAAGAGCCUAGCCAGCCAGAACAGACAAAGCCAGCCUGGCAUUAAGGGGUGGUGGCUACUGCAGCCAGCACACCUUCACACUGAACAGGUUUCUCUUACCCCUGUGUGAAUGGGGGCAAAGACCUGUCCACAUCACAUUCUCAGGUGCCGGGUUCGGUCUGUUAGUCUGCAUUGUUUUAAAGGUUUCUUGGUUUAGUUUUAAUUUCUGGUCUAGUUCUCACUGGAAGGACUCUUGACUGAACUGUGAAGUUGUCACUGAAUGGCAGCCGCAUUGCUGGCUCCUUUGAGAGCUGUCUUGUAUGUAGCCCUCCUUCCCUAGCUUCCUUGAGAUGCUUACCGUAUUUAUGCAGUUCCCACAUCCAUGGAGGUCAUGGAGACAGUUUAAUGUAUCAACCAACCACGAUUUUGGUGGGAAAUGUAGCUGCUGUUUUAGACCUGUGCUACUUUGGAUUUGGUUGCUGUUGUCUAUGACCAAAAACAACUUGGAAAAGAGAGGGUAUAUUUCAUGUUAAAAGUUACAGGCCAUUGUGGAGGAAAGCCAGUGCAGGGACUCGAGGCAGGAGCUUGAAGCAAACCACGGAGGACUGCUGUUUCCUGCCUUGCUCCCAGGCUUUCGUUCAGCUGACUUAUACAGCCUAAUACAGGACCAGUAUCUUUCAUAGUGGGCUAGGCCCUUCCGCACCAGUUAGCAAUCAAGAAAACACCUCACAGACAUGCCCACAAGCCAGUCUGAUGGCAGCAGUUCCUCUCUUAAAGGGGCCCUCUUCCUAGGUGUAUCAAGUUGACAACCUCAGCCAUCACAAGUGAUAGUCAUUUUCAAGAGACUUUCUUGUGAUUUUGUCCUCUUCCUGUCUUAGGAUGUUUGAGUUUGGAGUGUCCACGUAGCUCAUUGAGAGAGAACUUGCCUAGCAUGCAUGGGGCCCUGGGUUUGAUCCCCAGCACU
Long non-coding RNA from Mesocricetus auratus (golden hamster), 3428 nucleotides. RefSeq lists it as uncharacterized. The record is from RefSeq and is a predicted model, not a curated record. The transcript is spliced from 4 exons. Lineage: Eukaryota; Metazoa; Chordata; Mammalia; Rodentia; Cricetidae.